This is a long non-coding RNA of Dalotia coriaria, 506 nucleotides long. RefSeq lists it as uncharacterized. The record is from RefSeq and is a predicted model, not a curated record. The transcript has 3 exons. NCBI's taxonomy places the organism in Eukaryota, Metazoa, Arthropoda, Insecta, Coleoptera, Staphylinidae.
GUCAGGUGAUCUGCACGCACAGUUUCUUAAUUAUUCUUGUGUUGCUAAAUGCUUCUUCGAUUGUACGCGAUUGGUGUGCAGGGUUUGUACCACACGGAUUGUACAUAUUCUGCGUGAGUGAUGUUCCGUCGGCCGUCGUAUUCUUUUUGUAUUAUAAGCGUACUACAUCGGUUCUACAAAAAUUUAUUUUGCAUCAAGUAUUCGCCGUACCAUGGAGUUCCGCAUUAAUAUUAACAUAAACGUUAACACUACCCUUCUACAGUGCCCUGAAUGGGAGUCACUUCUACCGCUACCCUCGUACGGUGCCCUGAAUGGGAGUCACUUCUACUGCUACCCUUAUUGGGUGUCUUAAAUGGCAGUCACUUCUGUCGCUACCUUCGUACGGUGCCCUAACUUUUGUGAUUUUGCACCUUAGUCUGAUAUCGUAGAAGGACCAUUCUUGCGUCAGAUUGGAUUUUGCACCUGAGUCUGACAUCGUAGAAGGACCAUUCUUGCAUCAGAUUGUA